RNAcentral lists this ribosomal RNA (627 nucleotides) under Hypothenemus sp. He56. Its description in RNAcentral is "LSU rRNA". It matches the Rfam family "Eukaryotic large subunit ribosomal RNA", at positions 439 to 811 of the family's 3401-position model. The record is from RNAcentral. Lineage: Eukaryota; Metazoa; Arthropoda; Insecta; Coleoptera; Curculionidae.
CGAAGGAAGAAAUUCAUUCGCGUUUCGUAGUUGGCGGAGAGAGGAAUUGUGUGACGAGAAUCGCUUGCGAUUUUUGCGCCGUCCUUUCUACGAAUCGAUUACGAACGUGUGCACUUUUCUUCUGGUAGGACGUCGCGAUCCGUUGGGUGUCGGUUUAAGGUUCAUGGUGGAGUCCGUUUUGCCUAUGUGUCGAACGGACCCGUGUUAUCCCGACCGACUCACUCGACGGUAUACGAAAGGUUUAAGGCCGCUCAUUUGGAGCGUUCGACUCGUAACAACUGCGUUAGUUUUUGUUGAAGAUCGGACCUAGUGCCGAUCCCGACAGCUGACGAUUUGCUUGUUUGCGAAGAUUCUCGAACAGACCUUGUUAACCGAUCGGCGACGAUAUAGAUUUGGGUACUUUCAGGACCCGUCUUGAAACACGGACCAAGGAGUCCAGCAUAUACGCAAGUCAUUGGGAAUGACUAAACCUAAAGGCAUAAUGAAAGUAAAAAUUCUCCUUGCGGGAAUUAAGGGAAGACAAGUGGUUUAGCCGUUAAAAGCGGCCACUUUGCAUUCCUGGGGCGUCUCAUUCUCAGUAUUUCCUUGUGAUUUGCGAGAAGAGGCGCACCAAGAGCGUAUACGCUG